GUCAAAGAGAAAAGGAGUAUAAGAUAUAAAGUUUCAUGUGCAGACCUUCCCUCCUUAUGAAUUCUGUGUUGAAAUGAAUAACUGUAAAACCCCAGGGAUUUGGCCAACCUCUUCUCCUGUCUCCUGCCAACUUUGACCUGGUUUUCUACAAGACUUAAGAGGUACAGAGACUGCACAGAAUCUCCCAGAAGACCUUAGUCAAUGCAGAAUUAAAUGGAAAAAUUCCACUUUUGUCAAAGGUGAAAAAUCUGGCUUUCCUUACAUGCAGAACCUCUAGAGACAUCAACAUGGUCUGUAUGAGCAACCUCAGCAAAAAAAAAAAAAAAGCCUCAUCU
This is a long non-coding RNA of Homo sapiens (human), 335 nucleotides long. RefSeq lists it as uncharacterized. The transcript has 3 exons. The record is from RefSeq and is a predicted model, not a curated record. Lineage: Eukaryota; Metazoa; Chordata; Mammalia; Primates; Hominidae.